AGCUUUGCGCAGAGGCAAUAUCAUAACCAAUGAAGGUUUACUGAGGUGUGGUUAUUGCUAGUUGAAAACUUUACCCAAUACCCUGCCAAUACGACUUUCGAGUCGGAUUAGGCAAUUUUUGGAGGUCUCUAAGGAGG
Non-coding RNA from Strigamia maritima, 137 nucleotides. The record is from Rfam. NCBI's taxonomy places the organism in Eukaryota, Metazoa, Arthropoda, Chilopoda, Geophilomorpha, Linotaeniidae.